GCCGGAGUGAUGAAAUGGUAAACAUGCACGACUCAAAAUCGUGUGCCGCAAGGUUUGUGGGUUCAAGUCCCACCUCCGGCA
This 81-nucleotide transfer RNA is filed under the name Candidatus Lloydbacteria bacterium RIFCSPHIGHO2_02_FULL_50_13. Its description in RNAcentral is "tRNA-Leu". It matches the Rfam family "tRNA". Rfam says of the family: Transfer RNA (tRNA) molecules are approximately 80 nucleotides in length. The record is from RNAcentral. RNAcentral also lists the same sequence under 1 other name. Lineage: Bacteria; Candidatus Lloydiibacteriota.